GAAGAGGAGAAUGACAUACUUCACCAGAGACUACAGCAGUAUGAGAAUCGUUGGUCAGAGUAUGAGUUGAAAAUGAAAUCCAUGGAAGAAAUAUGGCAGAAACAAAUGAGAUCGCUGCAGUCAAGUCUUUCCAUUGCAAAAAGGAGCUUAGCCCUUGAUGAUUCCAGGAGGAACUCCGAUGCAUCUGUCAAUCCAACUGAUGAGAAAGAGUCUAGCUGGGAGACAGGAAGUAACCAGAGGGCCAGAGAGAGCAAUGGAGUACGACCAAUGAGCGCAGGUCUUAGUGUCAUAAGCCGAUUAGCGGAGGAGUUUGAGCAGAGGAGUCAAGUGUUUGGUGACGAUGCUAAGUUCUUGGUGGAAGUAAAAUCAGGUCAAGUUGAGGCUAACUUGAGUCCAGAUCGUGAGCUAAGGAGGUUGAAGCAGAUGUUUGAAGCUUGGAAGAAAGAUUAUGGAUCAAGAUUGAGAGAAACAAAGGUGAUUCUGAAUAAACUGGGGAGUGAUGAAGGAGGCAGUGACAAAAUGAAAAAGAAAUGGUGGGGAAGGAGGAAUAGCACAAGGUUGAACUAAGUUAAAUUCCCUUUAUUGAGUUGGAUCGAAGUUUUUGCUUUACAUACCAAGGCAGGUGUUGUGCAGUGAGCAAGUUUGUAUAGAAGUGAAAUGGGAUGUUAGUAUUAAUGUGAGACUCGUAGUAGUAUGUAGUUUGAAAUACAGCAUUCCUGUAAAG
Molecule: unclassified non-coding RNA, 724 nt
Filed under: Hevea brasiliensis (rubber tree)
Lineage: Eukaryota; Viridiplantae; Streptophyta; Magnoliopsida; Malpighiales; Euphorbiaceae
Source: RNAcentral